GUGGGGAAUUUUGGACAAUGGGCGCAAGCCUGAUCCAGCAAUGCCGCGUGCAGGAAGAAGGCCUUCGGGUUGUAAACUGCUUUUGUACGGAACGAAACGGUCCGGGUUAAUACCCUGGGCUAAUGACGGUACCGUAAGAAUAAGCACCGGCUAACUACGUGCCAGCAGCCGCGGUAAUACGUAGGGUGCAAGCGUUAAUUGGAAUUACUGGGCGUAAAGCGUGCGCAGGCGGUUUUGUAAGACAGGCGUGAAAUCCCCGGGCUCAACCUGGGAAUUGCGCUUGUGACUGCAAGGCUGGAGUGCGGCAGAGGGGGAUGGAAUUCCGCGUGUAGCAGGGAAAUGCGUAGAUAUGCGGAGGAACACCGAUGGCGAAGGCAAUCCCCUGGGCCCGCACUGACGCUCAUGCACGAAAGCGUGGGGAGCAAACAGGAUUAGAUACCCGAGUAGUCC
This 450-nucleotide ribosomal RNA is filed under the name uncultured bacterium. Its description in RNAcentral is "partial 16S ribosomal RNA". It matches the Rfam family "Bacterial small subunit ribosomal RNA", at positions 354 to 796 of the family's 1533-position model. The record is from RNAcentral.